GGGCACGUGGCGGAAUCUGGUAGACGCGCUGGACUUAGGAUCCAGUGGGUAAAACCCGUGGGGGUUCAAAUCCCCCCGUGCCCACGA
Molecule: transfer RNA, 87 nt
Filed under: Candidatus Chryseopegocella kryptomonas
Lineage: Bacteria; Pseudomonadati; Candidatus Kryptoniota
Description: Candidatus Chrysopegis kryptomonas tRNA_Leu_TAG
Rfam family: tRNA
About the family: Transfer RNA (tRNA) molecules are approximately 80 nucleotides in length. Their secondary structure includes four short double-helical elements and three loops (D, anti-codon, and T loops).
Source: RNAcentral